RNAcentral lists this ribosomal RNA (301 nucleotides) under uncultured bacterium. RNAcentral describes it as "partial 16S ribosomal RNA". It matches the Rfam family "Bacterial small subunit ribosomal RNA", at positions 509 to 809 of the family's 1533-position model. The record is from RNAcentral.
CAGCAGCCGCGGGAAUACGUAGGGUGCGAGCGUUAAUCGGAAUUACUGGGCGUAAAGCGUGCGCAGGCGGCCAUUCAAGACAGAUGUGAAAUCCCCGGGCUCAACCUGGGAACUGCAUUUGUGACUGCAUGGCUAGAGUACGGUAGAGGGGGAUGGAAUUCCGCGUGUAGCAGUGAAAUGCGUAGAUAUGCGGAGGAACACCGAUGGCGAAGGCAAUCCCCUGGACCUGUACUGACGCUCAUGCACGAAAGCGUGGGGAGCAAACAGGAUUAGAUACCCGGGUAGUCCCUGUCUCUUAUAA